Marmota marmota marmota (Alpine marmot) is the source of this 107-nucleotide small nuclear RNA. The record is from Ensembl. NCBI's taxonomy places the organism in Eukaryota, Metazoa, Chordata, Mammalia, Rodentia, Sciuridae.
AUGCUCCCUUUGGCAGCACACAGACUAAAAUUGGAGUGAAACAGAGAAGAUUAGCAUGGCUCCUAUAGAAGGAUGAUUCACAAAUUUAUGAAGCAUUCCAUAUAUCU